Molecule: unclassified non-coding RNA, 255 nt
Filed under: Hevea brasiliensis (rubber tree)
Lineage: Eukaryota; Viridiplantae; Streptophyta; Magnoliopsida; Malpighiales; Euphorbiaceae
Source: RNAcentral
AAGAGAUGUCCUUUUAUGGAAUUUUUGUAAACACCAACAUUAGGAAUUGGCGGUGUUGUAUCGGAAGAUUUAAGAGUUAUUAGGCUGUCCAAAAGAAGUCGAAGUGAGGAUUAGAUGGGAAUUGCCUAGAAAUAAAUAAUUUCUUAUGAAAUUGGAUCCUUGGGAGCUGCCUUGGUGGGAUUAUUUCAACAUAAAUACAUAAAUUUUGUUACAGCAUUUAUAAAUUCAUCUUUAGAUACUAUCACGAAAAUCUUG